Vicia villosa (hairy vetch) is the source of this 584-nucleotide long non-coding RNA. RefSeq lists it as uncharacterized. The record is from RefSeq and is a predicted model, not a curated record. The transcript has 3 exons. NCBI's taxonomy places the organism in Eukaryota, Viridiplantae, Streptophyta, Magnoliopsida, Fabales, Fabaceae.
UGCAUCGUAUUUUUAAUAAUCAAAGAUAGCUGAUAAAUUUAGCAGUUAUUGACAUGCUCUGUUGAUGAGUGUUUCUGUUAUGGGUUUUCUUACAUAUGCAUGAAAUAUGAUGGGACAGUGUAGCUUGGAUUUUUUAUUGGAAAUUAUUUGUGCAGGUAAGCAUUUGACUGGAAAUUUCAUAUUCUUUAUAGGAAAGUUUUAGAGUAUAAGAAGAAGCUUCAAUGGCCAAAAAACAUGCACCAAGAUCCAAUAAAUCAUCUGUCUACCUGUAUGUUCCUAAUAUCAUUGUACAUUCCACAAAAGAUGGGAUCAAAAGGCGUCGACCACGUUGCAAUCAUAGUUACAAUUGGAAUUUCAUGGCUAUUUGCUGAAAUUUUUACCGCGGCUGGUGCAUAUAAUAAAAAUAGGAAUUGGACAUAUCUGAUGUCUCUGUUCUACACAAUGUUGACGAGCCUACAGUUCAAAGUUUGAAUGGUUGUAGGAUUGCAGAUCAAAUUCUAAAGCUUGUUCCAAAUGUUGAGUACUUUCGAACAACACUCCGCUGCUUGAAGUAUUGGGCCAAAAGACGAGGUCUUUAUUCCAAU